UACGUAGGGGGCAAGCGUUAUCCGGAUUUACUGGGUGUAAAGGGAGCGUAGACGGCGUGCCAAGUCUGGUGUGAAAGCCCGGGGCCCAACCCCGGGACUGCUUUGGAAACUGUGUAACUGGAGUACAGGAGGGGCAGGCGGAAUUCCUAGUGUAGCGGUGAAAUGCGUAGAGAUUAGGAAGAACACCAGUGGCGAAGGCGACUUACUGGACUGUAACUGACGCUGAGGCAUGAGAGCAUGGGGAGCAAACAGG
Molecule: ribosomal RNA, 253 nt
Filed under: uncultured Eubacteriales bacterium
Lineage: Bacteria; Bacillati; Bacillota; Clostridia; Eubacteriales
Description: uncultured Clostridiales bacterium partial 16S ribosomal RNA
Rfam family: Bacterial small subunit ribosomal RNA
Source: RNAcentral